AGAAGGGUCUUCAUUUGUGAAAUGAUGAAAAUAAAUUUAAUGGGGAAGCAGGAGGUGCUACUGGUUACCUUUCAACUAUUCUCUUAUUGGAUGUACUAAAUAUACUUCUCAAACUUACUUUCAGAUGGAGAGUACUGGAAUUUCUGCAGAGAAAGAAGUGCAAAAAAAUUGCACAUCUGAGAAGAGCAGAUACGGAAAGGGUUCCGUGGGACUGGAGAGUGACAAGAAAUUCAGAAGCUGCAAGGCAUUAAUCAGAAAGAACCAGAAAGGCAUUCCAGGAGCACACACCUUCCAUAUCUUCAUGUGCUGGCCUGGAAGCUCAGCUUCACCCCUGACCACAUGAACCCUCGCCCAGGGGAAUUUCAGGUAGAGUUCUACAACUUGAAACUUUGCAAAGCCAAAGCCCUCCUGCAUUUCAUGGGGUGGGAAAGCAUUCAGCACCAAUACCUACACAAGUGACAAUCUGCAGGACUGGAUUCAGCUGCAGGAACUUCUGCUUGUGCAUAUCUUGGAUGCCUGAGUUGCACAAGGACGUUGGAAAUUAGACCCCCCUCACAUCUUUGUUAGUGAGUAUGUUUCUGCUGUAUUGAAAUUGCCUUGGCAUUGGUUGCACAGGAGAGCCAGACUGAUGGAUUCUUCAAGAUUCUUUGAGGGUGUUAUGUUGUUCUGGCUUUGUUAUGUGCAGAUGUCUCCUAACAUCUAAUUCUAAUUCUUCUCCCUUCAUCUCCUUCUCCACUUGCUGUUACCUUUUAAAGUCCUUCGAGGUAAUUUAAAACAUACUAUUUUUAAAUUUAGCACAGUACCAAGGGACCAUUUCUAGCACAAAAUGGCCAAAGUAAUUGCCCAGAGAAGCUGGUGUCACUUUCAGAGGUUAGAGGGCUAUAUUCCUGCUGCCAAAAGAGAUACAGGUUCCACAGACAUCAGAGUAUUUGCGUGGUGCAUGAACAGCGUGAAAGGAAAAAGCCUGGAUAGUAGGGGUUUGGUGAGAAUGCAGGUAGUCAUCAGGGAUCACUGAAAGAGUUCAAUUUUUAGAUUUUUACCUUGUUUCAUAUAGUACUUUGUGUUGGACUCUGCCUUAUUCUUCUGCCUAUUUCUCUUGUGGGGUACCAAGUAGCAAGGUAACAUCAGCAAAUAGGUGAAAUUUUGUCCAAUACCACCUAUUAUGAGGGACAGGACAUUUCUCUGCUUGCACCUCUAUUAAACCUUCCUAUAUUACAUACCCUUCCUAAUGACCUGUAGGAUGUUUAGCCCAGCUAAUAAGAUGAAACUCAGAUUAUACAAAAAUAGCACAUACUUGCAAAGUCACCACUUUAUGCUUCCGUUGGUGGCAACAAGGGUAGACAGCAUCCCCCCUAGGUCUUAGCAGCUGCCUGUAAAAGAAGGGACACCCCUGACAAUUUAUCUGAGCAUCUGAAGUGCAGCUUUUCCACUUUAGAAAAGGGGUCUCCCUUAGAAUACCUUGUCAAGACAGGACUGUCUGUGCUUUUGCAAGGCAAAUGUUAGAUCUGGGUGUUAGACUGGAGUUACAUUUAAUCCAUGCUCCUUUAUGUGAGACAGGAAAUUCCAAAUCUCUGAUCAAAGCAACACACAUACUGUGUAACCCUUUUCAUUUUCGUUUUUCAAACAGACGGAAUAGGACAAAAUAAGCAGCACAUGUUUUAAGAAGACUGGAUAUUACUAAAUGUAUUAAUGAAUUUUAUUACUAUUAAUAAAAACUCUGUGAGAGUAUAACUGUGCUUC
Molecule: long non-coding RNA, 1740 nt
Filed under: Parus major (Great Tit)
Lineage: Eukaryota; Metazoa; Chordata; Aves; Passeriformes; Paridae
Description: lncRNA (ENSPMJG00000003667.1)
Source: RNAcentral